This 492-nucleotide ribosomal RNA is filed under the name uncultured bacterium. Its description in RNAcentral is "partial 16S ribosomal RNA". It matches the Rfam family "Bacterial small subunit ribosomal RNA", at positions 29 to 507 of the family's 1533-position model. The record is from RNAcentral.
AGUGAACGCUGGCGGUAGGCCUAACACAUGCAAGUCGAACGGCAGCACAGUAAGAGCUUGCUCUUACGGGUGGCGAGUGGCGGACGGGUGAGGAAUACAUCGGAAUCUACUUUUUCGUGGGGGAUAACGUGGGGAAACUUACGCUAAUACCUCAUACGACCUACGGGUGAAAGCAGGGGAUCUUCGGACCUUGCGCGAUUGAAUGAGCCGAUGUCGGAUUAGCUAGUUGGCGGGGUAAAGGCCCACCAAGGCGACGAUCCGUAGCUGGUCUGAGAGGAUGAUCAGGCACACUGGAACUGAGACACGGUCCAGACUCCUACGGGAGGCAGCAGUGGGGAAUAUUGGACAAUGGGCGCAAGCCUGAUCCAGCCAUACCGCGUGGGUGAAGAAGGCCUUCGGGUUGUAAAACCCUUUUGUUGGGAAAGAAAAGCAGCAGGUUAAUACCCCGCUGUUCUGACGGUACCCAAAGAAUAAGCACCGGCUAACUUCGUG